UACGUAGGGUGCGAGCGUUGUCCGGAAUUAUUGGGCGGAAAGAGCUCGUAGGCGGUGUGUCGCGUCGGCCGUGAAAACCUGGGGCUCAACUCUGGGCGUGCGGUCGAUACGGGCAUCACUUGAGUUCGGCAGGGGAGACUGGAAUUCCUGGUGUAGCGGUGAAAUGCGCAGAUAUCAGGAGGAACACCGGUGGCGAAGGCGGGUCUCUGGGCCGAUACUGACGCUGAGGAGCGAAAGCAUGGGUAGCGAACAGG
This 254-nucleotide ribosomal RNA is filed under the name uncultured bacterium. RNAcentral describes it as "partial 16S ribosomal RNA". It matches the Rfam family "Bacterial small subunit ribosomal RNA", at positions 524 to 776 of the family's 1533-position model. The record is from RNAcentral.